CUUCACCGACCCCAGCCACAGCGGCCGGUCCUCGGGCCGACCCUGCCCGUACGCGGCGAUCAACGCCUGCGCCUC
This 75-nucleotide antisense RNA is filed under the name Embleya hyalina. RNAcentral's name for it is "ASpks TB sRNA". It matches the Rfam family "ASpks TB sRNA". Lineage: Bacteria; Bacillati; Actinomycetota; Actinomycetes; Kitasatosporales; Streptomycetaceae. The record is from RNAcentral.